AAAAGGGAGAAGGCAGAGAAACAAAUGCUGAUGAGGAGGAACAAAGGGGGAACCCCCCCUCACAGGUAUCAAAGAUCAUGCCUGCUCAUGAAACAGACCAACUCUUGUAGACCACAUAACUCUAGGAAGGGAAAGAUAGCAAGAACACAAUCACAUGCCUGCAUAGAUACAACAAAUACGUAAUUGUGCAAAUACUGCUAUAUUUCCAGCAAUUCCAAUCAAUGCAAUGCAAUGCAAUCAAUUACAUUAGCAUUUAUCUCUCCCCAGAGAAUCUCCAAGACUUUAAAAGGGAAUAUUGUACAACUGAAUUCAGAUCCCACAUACCUUCUCCCCAAUCCACCGAUGCACUAGGCAAAGUACUUUCACUCCAAUUGUAUUUAUACUGUGAAACUAAAUACCACAGGGAUAUUUUCCACAGUCUUUCAUUGAUACUUAAUACAAGAAAACACCAAUUGCACAUGAAGAAGGACUGUUUAUUACUCUUUACAAAACUCGUAAAAUGCUUUCUUUUUUAGGGUUAAUCGCGAAGGCAUGGGAAUUAAACAUAUUCCUCUUCACAGCCACAUAGCAAAUUGAAUUCACAAUGUGUUCUCUAGUCUUCUCUUGUUGGUCUUUAUACAAUAAAAAUAAGAGAAGAGGAAAGUUCUUGUUUUCUGUUCUUUAUCUAUAUUGCACCGUUCAAUUUUACUUGGGGACAGAAUAAGAAAUGCACCUUUUAAAAGGAGUGCAUAUUGGCUUCUCAAUGGAUAUUUGACUGGGGUCUAUUCCACCUAAGAUUCUAUUUCUAUAACUACCCCAAAUUUCUUGGGCCCAUCCCAUCUAAGUGGCAUCCCUUAUGUCAUCCCGCCCUCAAAUCAAAUCCCAGCUCUGCCCACAUACAUGAUAUCAUACACCACUGCUCUACCUACAUUAUAUACAUAGUAUAAAAUAUUAAGCUCUUUUAACUCAAGAGCGUUGACAACACACAGCUGAACUUGACUGAUGUUAGGAUCAGAUCUUAAAGGCAUUUGAAUAGGAGACCUUAAGAGACAGGAUUGUAAACCAGGUUGGAAAUUGAAUAAAUGCCUGAGAAGAAAAUAAUGCCAAACUUUUCCCACAAAGUUGCCAAGAAAAAGCAUGCUCAAAGGAGACUUUGCCUUUUAGUAAAUUCUAAAGUUAGUACAAUUUCAGAAAUACACUUCCUAUGGAUAUGAAUGCAGACUUUGCAAUUUGUGGAUGAUACCUGAUGAAGUAAUUUAAGCUGGUAUGUGUGCUUUUAAGCAUAACCAAUCAAAUGACAAUACCAAGAAAGCAACUCUGCUUCACUCAUAAUAUAUAGAUAGCAUGUUAUCUUGGCAAAUAAUCCAGGUCCUGAUGUGAGUAUUGCAUAUGAAAUCAAAAUUAUAUCCAUACAAUAGCUUCACUGGGAGUUAAUAUACAUCAGCCACUCAGUUGUUUCAUACUUUGUAUAGAAGGUAAUGUAAACAUAAACACAAAACUGCCCAAAUAUAAAAUGUUUUAUUAACAAACAGUAAAAUUCAUAUAUACCUGCACUAAAACUUUGAACGAACCAUUUAUAACAUUCUUGAUUCCUCACAAGCAUAAACCUAUAGUUUUGCAGAAGUGCUGAUCCAAUUAUUUCAGCCUGGAGCUGUUUAGAUGUGCUGGACAUGCUGGCUGGGAUAUGGGAAUUACUGUCCAAAGUUUUUGAGGUCGGCAGUGUAAAUACCUCAACGUUUACUUUUAGUUUUCUUCGAACGUGACUUACAAAUCUUUAUGAGAAAAGGGAAUAGCUUUUGGAACAUAUAUUAAAGAACCAGCAAAGAAGAUUGUCUGUCAUAUUAGAAAUAUUUUAGACAGAAUAUGCAAGAUGGUGUUAAAAGCUCCUACCAAAAGUGCAGCUUGAACCAUCCGUAGGAAAAAGCAUUCUCUCCUAUGGUAUCUGUUGGCAACAGCUGCAAGGCUACUCUACAAACACCACCUGACCUAGCAAGCAACUGGCUUUCCAUCAGUCCAACGAACCUUGUUGACCUGAUGCUUGGAUUUAAAGGGCCGACGGCUCCACACUAUUGUGAGUCCUUGACAUACAAUGGCAAAUAGGACCAGACUUUCUGUUGCAAAGCGAAGCAG
Molecule: long non-coding RNA, 2109 nt
Organism: Thamnophis elegans (Western terrestrial garter snake)
Lineage: Eukaryota; Metazoa; Chordata; Lepidosauria; Squamata; Natricidae
Exons: 2
Source: RefSeq, a predicted model, not a curated record